AAAGGAUACAUACAAGUGAAAAGCAACAUCUUCAACACUAUAUCGACACCAUCUCCAUUCCCUUUGCGUCCCGAGAGAGAGAGGGAGAAAGUAAUCGGCGAUCAUCCACGAGAUGGUGAAUUCAGUAUUUGAAAAUGGCACAUUUUGUGGGCACAGUCCACUCCUACUGAUGUUUAUAAGCUCGAUGAGAAAGAGGUAUUCUAUGCCAAACUUGCAUCCAUGGCAGACAGAUGUCGCCGGCUAGACAUUUGCAUCAUACUGGCCAAUAAUUUCUGGCUGUGAACGAGCUGGAUAUGAGAUGUCUGUUGGUCGUCAUGGGAGCUGGAUCAUCGGGUACAGUUGGCAGGACCAUGUGUCCAACUGACGGAUACGCUGUUAGCCUGGCAUCGGACCUGUUACUUGCAUAAUCUGGGAUUGCCAACUCAGGCUAUGUGGGCACCUAGCUCAUUUCCCUGUGGAUAACCCUACCCAUCAGGUUUCCUCUUUGCAAGACCAUCCUGGGUGGAGGAGGCCGGUUGGACGAUGUAGGGGGUCAUGGCUUGAUCAGCUUGACCAGACCUGUCACAAGGAGCUAGAUAGAGAAGGGCCAAGAGCCUGCCUAGAGGUUUGCCAUGAGGGACCCCAUGGGUGGAAGUGAAGGGUGGAUGUGGUCAUGCACCCUGUCGGCGUUAAUCCCCAGUGAGGAUGACAGAGGGAAACUAUAGUGGUUCUUUGUGAUUUGAAGCUCGAUGGAUUCCAGACGAUGUGAAGUCUUCAUUCCUUGAAGUGGCAGUUUGAUCCAGAAGUGUAGAUGUAUGGAUUGAGGCUACUCGUAUUGAAGAUCUGACUGCUUGUGACCAUCUGAGGUGGCUGUGGACUGGAAAUUGCAGUGUUGGACUUGCAUAUUGGGACUACCUUCUGUUGCUACUCAAGUAUUUCAUUCAAAAUAAAAGAUGUGUGUGACUGAUAUCAAAUGCCUUCAUGAUGGUUUUGGAUGCUGUGACUGCUAGACCUUCCUACCUGUCACUGAGAAUUUAACCUCUGGGAGGUAGACAAUUGUGUUCAUUUGAUGUGAUAAUAAAAGAAUAAAGUGCUAAUAGUG
Molecule: long non-coding RNA, 1081 nt
Organism: Penaeus indicus
Lineage: Eukaryota; Metazoa; Arthropoda; Malacostraca; Decapoda; Penaeidae
Exons: 4
Source: RefSeq, a predicted model, not a curated record